AUUGAACGCUGGCGGCACGCUUAACACAUGCAAGUCGGACGGCAGCACGCGAGGUGUCACCCUCUGGGUGGUGAGUGGCGGGCGGGUGAGUUAUGCGUAGGGUGCUGUCCAUUGGGGGGGGACAAGCCGAGGCAAUGCCGAGUACUACCGACUACGCCCUGAGGUGGGAAGGGUGGGAGAUGGAAACGGGCUAAUAGCUAAUACAAGAUCGUGCGUUCUAUUAGCUAGUUGGAUGGGUAAAGGACUACCAAGGCGGUGACCUAUCGCUUGUCUGAGAGGAUGACGCGUCACACGGGAACUGAGAUGCGGACCAGAAUCCUAAGGGAGGCAGCAGUGGGGAACAUUGGACAAUGGGCGAAACCGUAAUCCAGCGAAGCCGCGUGUGUGAAGAAGGCCUGAGGGGUGUAAAGCACUUUAGUUGGUGAGGAAAGGGGAUGCGUUAAUAGCGCGUUCAAGUGACGUUAGCCAAAGAAUAAGCACCGGCAAACUCUGUG
Molecule: ribosomal RNA, 494 nt
Filed under: uncultured bacterium
Lineage: Bacteria
Description: partial 16S ribosomal RNA
Rfam family: Bacterial small subunit ribosomal RNA
Source: RNAcentral